Perca flavescens (yellow perch) is the source of this 806-nucleotide long non-coding RNA. RefSeq lists it as uncharacterized. NCBI's taxonomy places the organism in Eukaryota, Metazoa, Chordata, Actinopteri, Perciformes, Percidae. The record is from RefSeq and is a predicted model, not a curated record. The transcript has 4 exons.
UUUUUUUUUUUUUAGAUCUCAUCUGCUCGUUGUUAAUCUUUCACAGUCAGUCUUCUUGUAGAUGUGAUAGGGAAGGCAAGAAACAGUCUAGCACUAGGACCCAGGCAAAGGGGCAGAGUCUAUAAAUAGGGGAGGGAAGCUCACCUGGAUCUUUCUUGCUGCAGUCAGACACACCUGAGUAGGCAGCUGAGGCCAGCCUUUGUUUGGUGCUUGAUUUGAAGCUUCAUGGUUGUGAGGGUCCAAAGCUUGGAGUGAUUGUUUAAACACAUCAGCUAAAGCACAGAUUCCAGUCACCUGCCUGUCUUCAGGGGAAUGUGCUUCUAAGUCAAGCAAGGGUUGUCCAGGUAUAGAAGGAUUGGCAGGAUGUUCCAGCAGUGUCUGUCUGCCAUCUUGGUUUCAGAGGAGGUUCCCUUGUAGUUACAACUAACCACUGAAUAAACCUCAAUGGAGGGGGGCAGCAGAGAGCAUUCUAAUGGCUGAUGUGCAAUUCCACCCUAGAAACUAUUGCAUUUUGGAGAAAAUGACUUUUAAACAGCUGUCCACUGUAGUGACCGCUAUGCACCAGAGGGUUAAGGGGAAAUUUAAGGGAAACUUGUAGACCAGGUCCAGAGCCAAAACCACUGUACCUAUACUUGUCAAAUCUGGACUAAAUUAUCCAAGACAGGAUAAAGAUUGUUAAAAACCCAGUUUCAGAUUUGUGAAAGCUUUAUUCUAUUUGUGAAAAUGCAAUUAAGGGAGAUUUUACUGUUUUUUUCAUAUGUAGACCACACUGGACCAGGUCCAGAUCCAAAACCACUACACCUAGA